UAUAUAUAUAUAUAUAAAUUGUCAAUGAUUCAUACGAAACGAAAAUAAAAAAUAAUUACGGUAUGAAAUUGAAAUGUCUCGAUUAUUCCCGGGGUUUCUUCGACUUUUCCGAGGUUUCCUCGGGAGCCGUGGCAACCAUAAAAUAUUCCGAAAUAAUAACGGAUAUUAAAAUUAAUUUUUCACGUAAUAACGUGCAUCCAUGCGCGAUUGAGCAUCGGAAAGAUGAUUUUGAUACAAUGUACGAUUCGUUAAAAUGAUCCGUAUUGUAGCGUUAUGAAAAUCUUACCAAGUCAAUACGCCACACGCCGAAAACUGCAGUGC
Molecule: non-coding RNA, 321 nt
Organism: Cinara cedri
Lineage: Eukaryota; Metazoa; Arthropoda; Insecta; Hemiptera; Aphididae
Source: the annotation of a GenBank genome assembly